UUGUUUGUUUUUUCCAGUUCCCCACAACCACCAUCAGCCACUUUCAGUCCCAUACACGGUGCUCAUCUACUCCUGCUGAGCCGCCACAGUCCUGCUUUGUACCUGUCAGGAUAUUUCAUUCUCAGAUCCCGACAUCUUCUUUCUCAGUUGCACUGUGGUUUAGAUAAUGACGAACAGGAACGUGCUAAUCCUCAACUCCCCGGUUGUGUAAGGCGUUGAGAUCAACCGCCAGGAACGUCUAAGAGCAGAGAUUGCUCACUGUCCCUUCAGUGACCAAUGCGCCUCAUCCGGUAACGCACAACUGAACUUCAAGACAGGGGCUGGGACACCAGAGCCAAACUCAUGCAUUUCUUUCCACAACAGAUGGUACUGAAGCCCCUUCAUGAUCUGGCCAGGGAGUGCUCAGGAUGGCAAUGUAGGUUAUUUAUGGCUCUGAUCCCAGUGAGGAAGCCAGCAGUGGAGACCCUAGGAUGUCUUAAACUUUAAUGAGCAACAAUUUGAAAUGCCCGUCAUCUUUCUGCCCGUCAACAUCUUGGCGGAAGUCUAAACCAGGAAGAAGUGGCACCUCUUUGGGUUCACCAGGUUUGAGUGCCUGCUCAGACACCAGAGUUCUAACACUGUGAACUUCAUGGCCACGCAUGCCUGGAGUGGCUGCUUAGAGUGGGGGCUGCUAUUCCAAACGCAGCUGACUGUGAAUUCAAUUCUGCCCGAUCAAAGCCUCAACUCUUCGGAGUGCCAACGGAUUCAUUUUGCUUCCUAGAAGUACUUGAGCUUAAAUUUCUCACAAAGGACAGCAGUGCAAGUGCUGAGAACUCCCUGAGCAGAUGACGGAAGGUCAGAGCAAGUACAACACGGAAGGAGCAAUCCACCCGGUGAUUAGGAAAAUUGCAAGGGAGAUAAUCCAGACAAUGUUAAGAUCGCUCAGAUUGGGUUUUCAUGGAUUCUAUGGUAUCUUUAAAUUGCUUAGUGAUGUCGAGGACGGAGUAUGGCAAUAGGGUCAUUUCCCAGAUGUCCUAAUAUCGCUUAUCUUCUUAAAACAAAGCACUUCUUUGUAAGGCACCCAAAGUUAGAUCUCUGUUCUAUGCAGAUACUUAGUCAAGCAGUUAACAUGCUAUUCUAGAUACAACCUUAUGAUCUAUAUUU
Fukomys damarensis (Damara mole-rat) is the source of this 1143-nucleotide long non-coding RNA. RefSeq lists it as uncharacterized. NCBI's taxonomy places the organism in Eukaryota, Metazoa, Chordata, Mammalia, Rodentia, Bathyergidae. The transcript has 3 exons. The record is from RefSeq and is a predicted model, not a curated record.